GAUGAACGCUGGCGGCGUGCCUAAUACAUGCAAGUCGAGCGAACAGAUGAGGAGCUUGCUCCUCUGACGUUAGCGGCGGACGGGUGAGUAACACGUGGAUAACCUACCUAUAAGACUGGGAUAACUUCGGGAAACCGGAGCUAAUACCGGAUAAUAUAUUGAACCGCAUGGUUCAAUAGUGAAAGACGGUCUUGCUGUCACUUAUAGAUGGAUCCGCGCCGCAUUAGCUAGUUGGUAAGGUAACGGCUUACCAAGGCAACGAUGCGUAGCCGACCUGAGAGGGUGAUCGGCCACACUGGAACUGAGACACGGUCCAGACUCCUACGGGAGGCAGCAAUAGGGAAUCUUCCGCAAUGGGCGAAAGCCUGACGGAGCAACGCCGCGUGAGUGAUGAAGGUCUUCGGAUCGUAAAACUCUGUUAUUAGGGAAGAACAAAUGUGUAAGUAACUAUGCACGUCUUGACGGGACCUAAUCAGAAAGCCACGGCUAACUACG
RNAcentral lists this ribosomal RNA (495 nucleotides) under uncultured bacterium. RNAcentral describes it as "partial 16S ribosomal RNA". It matches the Rfam family "Bacterial small subunit ribosomal RNA", at positions 28 to 505 of the family's 1533-position model. The record is from RNAcentral.